Molecule: ribosomal RNA, 299 nt
Filed under: Thalassiosira minuscula
Lineage: Eukaryota; Bacillariophyta; Thalassiosirophyceae; Thalassiosirales; Thalassiosiraceae
Description: partial Bacterial large subunit ribosomal RNA
Rfam family: Bacterial large subunit ribosomal RNA
Source: RNAcentral
GGAGAUAGCUCGUACUCCCCGAAAUGCAUUUAGGUGCAGCGUCGUAUUAUAGCUUGGUGGAGGUAGAGCGACUGGUUGGUUGAGCGGGACUACAAUCUUAGCAAUGUCAGCCAAACUCCGAAUGCCACUAAUUGUGUUGUACGGCAGUGAGACUGUGGGGGAUAAGCUUCAUAGUCGAGAGGGAAACAGCCCAGAUCGCCGGUUAAGGCCCCUAAGGGUGUACUAAGUGGAAAAGGAUGUGGGAUCGCGAAGACAGCCAGGAGGUUGGCUUAGAAGCAGCCAUCCUUGAAAGAGUGCGU